UCCGCCGUGGUGUAAUGGCAGCACAGAGGCCUUUGAAGCCUUUAGUCUAGGUUCGAGUCCUGGCGGCGGAAC
This 72-nucleotide transfer RNA is filed under the name Chlamydia trachomatis. Its description in RNAcentral is "tRNA-Gln(ttg)". It matches the Rfam family "tRNA". Rfam says of the family: Transfer RNA (tRNA) molecules are approximately 80 nucleotides in length. Their secondary structure includes four short double-helical elements and three loops (D, anti-codon, and T loops). Lineage: Bacteria; Pseudomonadati; Chlamydiota; Chlamydiia; Chlamydiales; Chlamydiaceae. The record is from RNAcentral.